CUACUACCGAUUGAAUGGCUCAGUGAGGCUUUCGGACCGGCCCAGAGAGAGUGGCUAACACUCACUCAGGGCUGGAAAGUUGUACAAACUUGGUCAUUUAGAGGAAGUAAAAGUCGUAACAAGGUU
This 126-nucleotide ribosomal RNA is filed under the name uncultured eukaryote. RNAcentral describes it as "partial 18S ribosomal RNA". It matches the Rfam family "Eukaryotic small subunit ribosomal RNA", at positions 1679 to 1801 of the family's 1831-position model. The record is from RNAcentral.